Molecule: long non-coding RNA, 2930 nt
Filed under: Daphnia magna
Lineage: Eukaryota; Metazoa; Arthropoda; Branchiopoda; Diplostraca; Daphniidae
Description: uncharacterized LOC116932233, transcript variant X8
Source: RNAcentral
UCUGCCAUCGUAUAAUAUCAGACGAAUCCUGAUUCGUCUGAUUUGCCACUUGACGCGCCCCAGUUGUAGCCUAGUUGUUAGGGAUUCGAAACGUGUUCAGUGAGGAGCUAAUAAAUGUUCAGUGCGUAUCUGCGUUCCGUUUUAAACAUUCUUUUGGCUACUCGUUAAUGCACUGACAUUUGCCAUUUUUCGUACCAAUCUGAGGGACACUCUCUUUCACUCUUUUUGUAAAACAAAUCGUAAAUUGCUUCCCAGGCAGACACCCAAAGCCUCAAAGCCAUGGGUGAUAGAUGAUAUUCUCAGCGGCCAUAACUGUGUUGUAAAUUGGUAUCACUUUUACAAAGCCAAACUGAUUUAGAUCACGUGUCUACUGUGAAGAAGAUCAUGUGUCUCAACAAAAAUGGCCCUCUCUGUUUGCGAGACAUCAGACAUCCCCAGUGUGUCAUUUUGAUGCAGAGCUCUUGAAAUCAAGUUGAACAUUUUAAAACAUCUCAGGUCAAAGCUGAAGUUCUAGAGGUAUUAGAAAAGUCGUCGCUUUUUUGUUAGUUUCUUAGCCGUCCGAUGCAUCCAUUGGAAUGAUGUUCAUUUCCUCGACAUCAUUGCUCACGUAAUUUAAUAACUUUGUACUUCGAAAAAAGUUGUACUAAUCUUCAAUUUUUAAAAGAAAACUUUGAUGCAUUAUUCUUAUCUCGAGGUUAUAUCGACCUUCAAAGGGAAAUCGGAAGAGGGUAUUCUUCUCCUUGACACAAAGAAAGGAAAUUUAAGCAUUAGCAAGUCAUCCGCAUCCAAACAGAUCUAACGCACGAGGUAUUCCGCCUCGUCCAGCAACGCAUCCAUCAAAAGAAUGUAUUAAAGAGGAAAAUAAUUGACCAAGUGCCGACUCGACGAUUUCCAUGCAAGAUGAAUGUUAUAAAUCCAAGGAGAUCUGGUGAGCAGGAUGCAACGGACUAUGUCAUGUCAGACCAUUAGCUGAAUACAAUUAAUACCAUCAGUUCCCCAGAACGAGAGGUUAAUAAUCAUACUGAAUCAAAAGAGCAAUCAAGUUAAAAGAGAUUUUAAAAUGAUAACUAAAACCAAGUAGAAACGGAGUGCCCAUUGUUUAGAGGCUUAGAGACUCGGCAAAUGGUAUUACUGACCCAUUGUGACAGCGUAGACAAGGUUGCAGAAGGGUUGCGUUGCGUCGCAAAAUGUUCGCUUCGUAUUAUUUCCGCUAUUGCUGAUACUGAACGCCGUCUUUAUGGAGUCUAGUUCCAGGAUUUGAUUGAAAACGGACGAAAAAUUGUGCAUAACUUCUUGUUCAACAUCUGUGGAUUGCAAGGAGGUUUCACAUUGAAGAAACGCGAGCAGCAGUGUAUCAGCUACAUCCGGCGUAAGGUAGGACGAGAUAAGUUCGUGCUCAUGUUGGUAAGCGGCGGAGUUAAUUCCGCCAUUUGUGCUGCCCUUCUUCAUCAAGCACUUCUACAGGGUGACGACUCGUCCGGAGUGCAGGACAUACAUAUCGAUAACGGUUUCCUGCGUAAAGACGAAUCUGAGCAGGUCGUCACUAGUUUACAGCAACUCGGGCUCAAUCUUCGGGGACAGUGGCUUCUCAUUUCUUCUUCAUACCAGCGAUCAGAUUUGAUGUUUCGAAUCGUUUUGGGUUGCUAAAUCAAGUUUGACUUUAUACGAUGCUUCCACCAACGACGCCAAACUUUGUCGAUGUGUCGGGCUGUUAAUCCCGAAGAAAACGUCGAAUUGUUGGCGAUACGUUUGUCAAAGUGGCAGAUGGAACUGCUAACGGUUUAAAUCUCAUUUGGGAUAAUCUACUUCUCGGACAAGGUACUUUGAUGCCGGAUUUAAUUGAGUCCGCUUCGUAUAUGGCUUCUUCGCUAUCUGAUGCCAUAAAGACUCAUCAUAAUGAUUCCUAAAUGGUUCGUCAAUUGCGCCUUCACGGUCGUGUUGUAGAACCUAUUAAAGGAACAUGCCUUGAUCAAUCCGAUUGAAAUUGCGAGGUCGGCAGAAGAGCGUCUUCUUCUGGAAGAACUGUCCAGUCACAACCAGUAUGUUGCCACGCUACUGCCCAGUCGCACUGAGGAAAAACUAGAUGACGUUGACGACGUUGAUGUGCGUCUAUGAUAAUAAUUUUACAAGUGACAAGUUAAAUUGGUGAUAGUUGCGUUUCUAUCCUGUUUAGUGUUUCAAAGGAUUUUUCAUCAAAUAAUAACGUGCCAACCUGAGAGACACUUCUUUUCACGAUUAUUUGCAUGGUACACUCGAUUGUUGUUUGAAGGUGGAUUGUCACCAAACAUCCUUUGAAUGGUACGCCCUCAUCAGCAGCCUUACAAUGUGCUUCAUAAAUACAUCAACCCCUGAGAUCGUUGGAAAUUGUGUUUUUGUUCUCCACCUUUAUUAUCCACAUGCAAUUUUCACACUACUUUAUUACAUUCAUGGAAAACCAGGUGUGAUAUUAUAUCAUCCUGGAAAAAGGAUUCUGGAAAUUGAUGAUUUCUAAUAUACAACUGAUUUUUAGAAUGAGCUUCCAAUUUGAAGUUGUGAGUGAUUUAUCGGAUUAUGGAUUCCUACUUUGAAAACCAAAUUAUUUCCUUCUACAAAUGAAUUUGGAAGUAUCGUAUAUGUGGUAUUAUGUACUCAAUGAUGUGUGUACCAUUGUGUGCUGCAUAAUGUUAUUACUUUAUGGAAUCAGCUCAUUCAAUUGUAACCUAUUUUUGUAUUCAAAAUAUAGAUCUUCGCGGAGCCUUUAAUGCUUAAUUUACGUUAUACUAAAAAAUUCCCAUGGAAGGAAGUUCUUUCAGGAUCUGUUAUCGACCGUCUAUGUUAUGCAGUAAUUGGAUCUGCAGUUUAGUUAGAAACUUUAACUUAGAAAUGUGCUCAGCAUAGAUUUUAUAUGAAAAAUGAUAUUUGAUUGGAAAAAGUUCCUGGUUGAGACAAGA